CCGGCGACCGGCGCACGGGUGAGUAACACGUAUGGAACCUGCCCGCAGCAGGGGGAUAAAGCGGAAGAAAUUCCGUCUAAUACCGCGUAACAACGUUGGGAGGCAUCUCCCGAUGUUUAAAGAUUUAUCGGCUGCGGAUGGCCAUGCGGCGCAUUAGCUAGUCGGCGGGGUAACGGCCCACCGAGGCGACGAUGCGUAGGGGUUCUGAGAGGAAGGUCCCCCACACUGGUACUGAGACACGGACCAGACUCCUACGGGAGGCAGCAG
RNAcentral lists this ribosomal RNA (267 nucleotides) under uncultured bacterium. RNAcentral's name for it is "partial 16S ribosomal RNA". It matches the Rfam family "Bacterial small subunit ribosomal RNA", at positions 88 to 354 of the family's 1533-position model. The record is from RNAcentral.